UGGGGAAUAUUGGGCAAUGGAGGAAACUCUGACCCAGCGACGCCGCGUGCGGGAUGAAGGCCUUCGGGUUGUAAACCGCUUUCAGCAGGGAAGAAGCGAAAGUGACGGUACCUGCAGAAGAAGCACCGGCUAACUAUGUGCCAGCAGCCGCAGUAAUACAUAGGGUGCAAGCGUUGUCCGGAAUUAUUGGGCGUAAAGAGCUCGUAGGUGGUUCGUCACGUCGGAUGUGAAAAUCUGGGGCUUAACCCCAGACCUGCAUUCGAUACGGGCGAGCUAGAGUGUGGUAGGGGAGACUGGAAUUCCUGGUGUAGCGGUGGAAUGCGCAGAUAUCAGGAGGAACACCAAUGGCGAAGGCAGGUCUCUGGGCCAUUACUGACACUGAGGAGCGAAAGCGUGGGGAGCGAACAGGAUUAGAUACCCUGGUAGUCCACGCCGUAAACGGUGGGCACUAGUUGUGGGAACCUUCCACGGUUUCUGCGACGCAGCUAACGCAUUAAGUGCCCCGCCUGGGGAGUACGAUCGCAAGAUUA
RNAcentral lists this ribosomal RNA (530 nucleotides) under uncultured prokaryote. Its description in RNAcentral is "bacterial SSU rRNA". It matches the Rfam family "Bacterial small subunit ribosomal RNA", at positions 355 to 896 of the family's 1533-position model. The record is from RNAcentral.